RNAcentral lists this ribosomal RNA (507 nucleotides) under marine sediment bacterium ISA-3150. RNAcentral's name for it is "bacterial SSU rRNA". It matches the Rfam family "Bacterial small subunit ribosomal RNA", at positions 54 to 551 of the family's 1533-position model. The record is from RNAcentral.
CAUGCAGUCGAGCGGCAGCACAAGGGAGUUUACUNCUGACGUGGCGAGCGGCGGACGGGUGANUAAUGCCUAGGGAUCUGCCCAGUCGUGGGGGAUAACAGUUGGAAACGACUGCUAAUACCGCAUACGCCCUACGGGGGAAAGGAGGGGACCUUCGGGCCUUUCGCGAUUGGAUGAACCUAGGUGGGAUUAGCUAGUUGGUGAGGUAAUGGCUCACCAAGGCGACGAUCCCUAGCUGGUCUGAGAGGAUGAUCAGCCACACUGGAACUGAGACACGGUCCAGACUCCUACGGGAGGCAGCAGUGGGGAAUAUUGCACAAUGGGGGAAACCCUGAUGCAGCCAUGCCGCGUGUGUGAAGAAGGCCUUCGGGUUGUAAAGCACUUUCAGUAGGGAGGAAAGGUAGUGGUUUAAUACGCCAUUGCUGUGACGUUACCUACAGAAGAAGGACCGGCUAACUCCGUGCCAGCAGCCGCGGUAAUACGGAGGGUCCGAGCGUUAAUCGGAAU